AGUAGAUCUCCGAUGUGGAAAUCAACAGCAAAUCACAGAAAAACCGAUGCUUACAUGCAGAUGUAUAGCAGCGACAGACUGCUGAUUUUAAAUAAGAAGCUGUACCAACAAGCAGGUCUGGCAAGGCAUGCCACUGUCGGAGAUGUAUGGGAGGAACUUGCCUGCAUAAGCUGAAGGGUCCUGCAUGUGAUACUACUCAGCGCACUUUUACAGUCUUUCACUUUCAUAUUUUACAAGUCCAAUGAAUCCAAUAUUUACUAAACAUCCCUUCCAUUGCAUAAUAAGUGAUACAUUUACACAUGUCUAAAAUAAACACCAGCAAGAUUUAUUGCAUGACCAGUAAAUUUAGUGUGAGGAAGUCUGGAAAAAAGACAUUUAUAAGCAAUGUU
Molecule: long non-coding RNA, 389 nt
Organism: Pseudophryne corroboree (corroboree frog)
Lineage: Eukaryota; Metazoa; Chordata; Amphibia; Anura; Myobatrachidae
Exons: 3
Source: RefSeq, a predicted model, not a curated record